This 582-nucleotide ribosomal RNA is filed under the name uncultured bacterium. RNAcentral describes it as "partial 16S ribosomal RNA". It matches the Rfam family "Bacterial small subunit ribosomal RNA", at positions 355 to 1375 of the family's 1533-position model. The record is from RNAcentral.
UGGGGAAUUUUGGACAAUGGGCGAAAGCCUGAUCCAGCAAUGCCGCGUGUGUGAAGAAGGCCUUCGGGUUGUAAAGCACUUUUGUCCGGAAAGAAAUCCUUGGCUCUAAUACAGUCGGGGGAUGACGGUACCGGAAGAAUAAGCACCGGCUAACUACGUGCCAGCAGCCGCGGUAAUACGUAGGGUGCAAGCGUUAAUCGGAAUUACUGGGCGUAAAGCGUGCGCAGGCGGUUUGCUAAGACCGAUGUGAAAUCCCCGGGCUCAACCUGGGAACUGCAUUGGUGACUGGCAGGCUAGAGUAUGGCAGAGGGGGGUAGAAUUCCACGUGUAGCAGUGAAAUGCGUAGAGAUGUGGAGGAAUACCGAUGGCGAAGGCAGCCCCCUGGGCCAAUACUGACGCUCAUGCACGAAAGCGUGGGGAGCAAACAGGAUUAGAUACCCUGGUAGUCCACGCCCUAAACGAUGUCAACUAGUUGUUGGGGAUUCAUUCCUUAGUAACGUAGCUACGCGUGAAGUUGACCGCCUGGGGAGUACGGUCGCAAGAUUAAAACUCAAGGAAUUGACGGGGUCAUAGCUGUUUCCU